Molecule: ribosomal RNA, 261 nt
Filed under: uncultured bacterium
Lineage: Bacteria
Description: partial 16S ribosomal RNA
Rfam family: Bacterial small subunit ribosomal RNA
Source: RNAcentral
AGAGUUUGAUCAUGGCUCAGGACGAACGCUGGCGGCGUGCCUAACACAUGCAAGUCGAGCGGAGACAGUGAGUAGCUUGCUAUGAGCUGUUUUAGCGGCGGACGGGUGAGUAACGCGUUAGCAACCUUUCCCAGACAGGGGAAGUAACACACCGAAAGGUGUACUAAUACCGCAUAAGACCACGGGAUCACAUGGUUCUGGGUAAAGAUUAUCGGUUUGGGGUGGGGCUCGCGUCCGAUUAGGUAGUUGGUGAGGUAACGG